This 497-nucleotide ribosomal RNA is filed under the name uncultured bacterium. Its description in RNAcentral is "partial 16S ribosomal RNA". It matches the Rfam family "Bacterial small subunit ribosomal RNA", at positions 28 to 507 of the family's 1533-position model. The record is from RNAcentral.
GAUGAACGCUGGCGGCGUGCCUAAUACAUGCAAGUCGAGCGAAUAGACGAGGGUCUUGCUCCUCUGACGUUAGCGGCGGACGGGUGAGUAACACGUGGAUAACCUACAUAUAUGACUGGGAUAACUUCGGGAAACCGGAGCUAAUACCGGAUAAUAUAUUGAACCGCAUGGUUCAAUAGUGAAAGACGGGUUUGCUGUCAAUUAUAGAUGGAUCCGCGCCGCAUUAGCUAGUUGGUAAGGUAACGGCUUACCAAGGCAACGAUGCGUAGCCGACCUGAGAGGGAGAUCGGCCAAACUGGAACUGAGACGCGGUCCCAACUACAACGGGAGGCAGCAGUAGGGAAACUUCCGCAAUGGGCGAAAGCUUGACGGAGGAACGCCGAGUGAGAGAAGAAGGUCUACGAACCGUAAAACUCUGUUAUUAGAGAAGAACAAAUGUGCAAGUAACUAUGCACGUAUUAACGGUCCCUAAUCAGAAAGCCACGGCUAACUACGUG